AGUGAACGCUGGCGGCAGGCCUAAUACAUGCAAGUCGAACGAACGCACAGUAAGAGUUCGCCUUUAAGGGUGGCGAGUGGCGGACGGGUGAGGCAUACAUCGGAUUCUACUUUUUCGUGGGGGAUAACGUAGGGACACUUACGCUAAUACAGCAUAUGAUCUACGGGUGAAAGCAGGAGAUCUUCGCACUUUGCCCGUCUGAAUGAGCCGAUGUCGGAUUAGCUAGUUGGUGGGGUAAAGGCCCACCAAGGCGACGAUACGUAGCAGGUCUGAGAGGAUGAUCAGCCACACUGGAACUGAGACACGGUCCAGACUCCUACGGGAGGCAGCAGUAGGGAAUAUUUGGCAAUGGGCGCAAGCCUGAUCCAGCCAUGCCGCGUGAGUGAAGAAGGCCUUCGGGUUGUAAAGCCCUGUUAUUGGGAAAGAAAAGCAGCAUAUUAAAACCCCGCUGUUUUGACGGUACCCAAAGAGUAAGCACCGGCUAACUUCGUG
Molecule: ribosomal RNA, 492 nt
Filed under: uncultured bacterium
Lineage: Bacteria
Description: partial 16S ribosomal RNA
Rfam family: Bacterial small subunit ribosomal RNA
Source: RNAcentral